Leopardus geoffroyi (Geoffroy's cat) is the source of this 1104-nucleotide long non-coding RNA. RefSeq lists it as uncharacterized. The transcript has 3 exons. The record is from RefSeq and is a predicted model, not a curated record. NCBI's taxonomy places the organism in Eukaryota, Metazoa, Chordata, Mammalia, Carnivora, Felidae.
GGUUCCCUUGAACCUGUUAACUGCCUUUCUUCCUCUUGAAUGCCCCAUCUUUCUCCCACAGAUGGGCUAAGCUAAGCCCUCUGCUGACCUGAGCCUUCCUCUCUGGCUUCCUCCCCAGUCUUGUCAAAGCUCAGAGAGAGUCCUGUGACAACAAGAGAGCAAGAUGGAUGUUGGUUCCUUUGGGAAGACUCGAAGAGUCACAAGGAGUCACAAAAGAGCAAAAGGCAGGAUUUCAUUCGUCCAUCUGGCCAGGAGAUGAGGCCUAACAGCCUUUUGCAGGCCUUCAUUAAUUUGGGUUCCUACACGGCUGCAUGGAGGAGGGCUGCUCUGACAUCCAAGAAACAAGAAAUGAACAAUUGGGGGCGUCUGGCUGGCUCACUUGGAGGCAACGGCAGUCUACCUAAAAGAGGUACCAUCGUGGGCAAGUGGGGUUCUUCUGACUUGUUUUAAAUCAGUAGGUGAUCCUGUGUAAGUAGCUGCACCAUUUUCUCCUUUACAAAAUGUGAAAGGGGAUUGUUUUCCUCCCAGAAGGAGAAGGUAAUACGUAUUUUUCUUUAGAAGUCUCUAAUCUACAAGAAGAGUUAACUGAAGACCAUGCUGAAAUAAAAAGCACUUCAAUUUAAUCCUAUACAGGGUCAAGCUCUUUUGAUUUUUAAGUGAGAACUUGAACCACAGAAGUAAAUAACUAUAGCACAAAAUUUUAAUCCCAUUUAAAUUUUAUCUAAACCCAUUUAAAUUCUACUAAAGCAGGAAGAAGAGGGGCACUUGGCUGGCUCCGUCAGUAGAGCAUUAAACUCUCGAUCUCUGGGUGUUGAGUUCAAGCCACACAUUCCACAGGGCAGGGAGAAGGAUGCAGAGAAGCACAGAGAAUUGUAGGAUUUGGGGACCUUUAUACCUUACACUUGUUUCUUCAUAGCUUUUCUUACAUUUAGUUGAAAUCACCUGUUUACUCACCUGUAUUUCCCUCUAGACCCCGACUGUACCAUAUGGUAACCACUGGCCACGUGGCUUUUGAGCACCUAAAACAUGGCGAAUGCAAUGUUCUAAGUAUAAAAUACACACCAAAUUAGAAAAACCGGAAUCUGAAGAACAUAAACUAUUUUA